This is a long non-coding RNA of Gallus gallus (chicken), 7849 nucleotides long. The record is from Ensembl. Lineage: Eukaryota; Metazoa; Chordata; Aves; Galliformes; Phasianidae.
CUUUUAUUAUGGUUCUGCUGAGAGGAUCUGAAGUUUGACAUUUGUAUGCUGCGCUCACAGCUCCCUUUCUCCUAUGCUAGUUAUUUUUAUCAUUAUUUUGGUUCUUAGGACAAAAUUGCACUCCGCUCAUCUGGAAAGCUCUUCCGCCUCUAAAUCCUGCGUGUUCGCCUUAUGCUCAGCCCUGUGGCAAAUACAAGAGCUCUCUUGAUUUAAUUUUCAAACACAAAGGUCCAUUAAAUCAAAGUGUUGCUUUCCAGAUCCCAUGGCUCUCAGCUGCCCAUCCAAGCCUCCAUCUCUCCCUCUGGGUGUUUCAGCUCUGCCUGAUGUCUCCUGAGCCCAGGGCUGGCUAGUCACAACAGGACUUCGAGCCCACAUUUUGGGGUGUUUUUGGAGGUUUCACCUUCUCUUGCCUGUGGGAACUCCAUUAUGUCCUUCCACGUCAUCUCAGAGCUGCAGCCAAGAGCAUCACUUGCUGGCCACCCUGUGGGAGCUGCUUGGGGGCCCAGAGCACCUGGGGAGGGACGGAGCUGGGCUUUGAGAGCAAAAGGAUCUGGUGUUCCCAUGGACAGCACGCUGGGAUGCAGGGUUGCUCCUGCCCUUCUCAUGGCAAGGUGAGGUUGGGGAUGCAUGGAUUGGUGAGCAGGUGGAUGGGAAGGUACAGAUGCCAGGAUCUGCCCAGGGUGCAGCUCAGUUUGGGGAAGGGUUGAAAGGUUCAGCAUGGGGACAAAUCUUGUGUUUCCAGCUCUGAGGACUCCCAUGCCAGCAGCACCCAGGUGCUGUGUGUGAGGAGAAGGGAGACCCAUGAGUACCCCCUUCCUCGUGGGUGUGUAGGGUGGAUGGCAUGGGAGGAAGGGGCUGGGGCCAUCCCAGGGCUGCCGCCACUGCAGCCUAACGCCUGGCCUGAAUUUGAGCACAAGGGGCUGCUCUGGCUGAAAUGUCACAGCUCUGACCAUGUCCGUGUUUCUGAGAUGAAACAUCUACUGUUUCUAAGCAAUGGUGAUUGAAAAGGCUGCAAACAACAACUGUUGGCAUUGGAGCCAUGGAGAUGGAGGGGACUGAGCAUCCUAAGCUUUCCAUAGCAGAGGGGAGCAGCAAGGUGCAGCUCCUGAUGGCUCCCAUGGUGGAGACAUCUGCUACGGAAAAUCACCUCCUUGGGACCCCUCCAGCCAUGCUCCACUGCUGCUGUCUCCCACCCUGUCCCCUUGGGUGCAGGCACCACAGCGUCAGCAAAGCCCAGUCCCUCCGUGGGAGCAUCCCUCCCUGGGAAGGACCUGGCCUGCUUCAGUCCCUCCACUGCAGGGGAGCACUGCUGGUCCCUGGGCAGCUCCACGGAAGGACGCUGCUCCUCCCUUAGUGGCAUGGAACAAGCUGUGGAUUAGCUCUCCCUGCGGAGCGUUUCAGGUUGCUGGUUUUCUGUACCAGCCUGUGGCUGCACAGUGUGUAAUUCAUGAUCAAUUUACUUGAAGUUAAAAUACAAAGGAAGGGAGGAAAAGGGGAAAAAAAAAAGGGCUUUCAGCUUAGCAGCUGGUACUGCCUCAAUAGCUGCCACUGUGGGCGAUCAAACUACACUUCACAAUCCAAUAUCUGACGUUAUUUCUUAGCCUCACUUGGUUCAGUUUCACCUCCAUCCUGGACAAAUAUUGACAAAGCUCUCAUAAUCCCGCUGGUGCCGUUGCAGAGAACUCUAUUUUGCUUGCAGCACACUUGGAGCCAUCUCAGUAUCCCCACUGGGAGCCGAGAGAGGAGCAUGAAUUUAGAUUCAAAGGGGAUGAGUGGCAGCUUACAGACCCCCUGCAGCCCAGGUGUCCUCCACGAGCAAAGCUGGCUCCAGGCUGUGAUGUUCUGAGCUUGAGCCCGAGGCUUAGGGUAAGACAAGAAGGUCUCCACUUGUUGCUGCUUAUGCACAAGAUAGCUCUGGGUGCAUGCAUGGUGCUCGUGCUGAGCUGGUGUCUUGUUCAUCACCAGUCGGUGUUCAGACUGUGUCGGCUGUCCCUUGGGUACCCGGGGUACCAUGAUUGACUGUGUCCUUCUGGGGUGUUGGUCUGUGCCCCAAUGAGUAGAGCUGGGCCAGAACUUGGGUCAUGGAGGAAAAAUCCCAGCACUCGGAUGGGAAAACCCAGCUCUGCUGCAGGGAACACUGCACCCCUGAGCGCCUCAGCAAAGCUCCAAGCAAUCAUGAAAACACAGAAUGGUUGGGUUAGGAGGGGCUUCAAAAAUCAUCCAGUUCCAGCCCCUUGCCUUGGCAGGAAUGCAAAGGGUCCUUCUCACCCAGGGUGGUCACCAUCGUGUCACCCACUGCCACCCCGUGUCCCACUGCAGGUCUGCAGCAGGAUGGGGGCAUUGUCCCCAGUGCUUCUGCCAUCAACCUCUUGCACCUUGCCCUCACCCACCUCCAUUCGAAACGGGGGUUCUCAUGCAAUGAGGCAGCUGGGUUUCACAUUGACCACAUCGGUAGCACUGUCACCAUCCAGGGAUCAGCGCUGGGGCGCAGAGAUGGAUGUGCUGAGCUGGGGAUGAUGGAUGGGAGCGUGGAUGGCAGCGGGGCAGCAGUGGAAGGGAAAACUGAUCAGAUCGACUGCUUAAUGGCUUCAUAACGUCAGGGUCUUGUUGGCAGCGCCUGGCAGCUCAUUUUUAAUGACAGCAUUCCUGAGCUCAACCCCAGAGUGCAGCUGCCUGGGAAGCCUGAAACUCAGAGAGCAGCUCUGAGGCUGGAAGCGAGCUGAUGUGAGUCAAACAGUGCUCCUUUUUGUGGCAUCACAUGGACUUGGCCCCACGGAGAGAGCCUCUUGAUCCACCUCUGUCCUGCCCCGAUGGGGCACAGUGUUAUUUAGCACAGAAUGGUUGGGAUGAGAGGGACCUUCAUGAUCAUCCAACCCUACCCGUGGGCAGGGGUGCCUCCCCCAGCUCAGGCUGCCCAGGGCCCCUCCAUGGCCUCGGGCACCUCCAGGAAUGGGGCACCCACAGCUCUGGGCAGCAGUGCCAGCGCCGUGCUGCCCUCAGAGCGAAAAGUAUCUUCUAUAUAUCCAAACCUUCCCUUCUCCAGGCUGAACACCCCCUGCUCCCUCAGCCUGUCUCCAUAGGAGAAGUGCUCCAGCCCUGAGAGCAUCCCUGUGUCCCCCUCCGGCCCCGCUCUGACAGCCCCAAACCUUUCAGCAGUUCAGGUGGGCUCUCAGUUGUUCUUUCUAAGGCCAGCAGCCGCUGAGACCGCACAGCGUUGGCUGCAGGGAAGUCUUCAGCAUGGCGGUGUGCAGCAAUCCAUACUAAUUAAGACAAAUCUAAUUACCCAGGCUGCAACUCAUGCUUAACGAAUUAGAACCAGAACAUGGCAAACACAGAGAGGAAGGCGUGCUGCCAAGGUGGAGUGGUGCGCCCAGAAGCCUGCUUGGAGGAGAAGGGUUCUGGGGAAGGCAGGGCUCAAUGGCACUGUUCUGCUGGGCGUCAGCAUCAGAGGAACCUCUGAUUGUGUGACGGAGUUGUAACAGUACAGAUCUGCACAGUAAGGAGAGCUGGUGCCAAACUGUGCUCCCGGGGGAGGGAAUGUCCCUUCCCCCUUACGUUCUUAAUAUAUCCAUUACGAUUAAUAUUGUGACCGAGGAAAUACUCUUAUUACAAAUAGAUGGUGAUGGCAGAGCUGCAGAAUUAAGUGGUGCUGGGCGCCACUUAUCUGAUUAGCGGGUGCUUUCAGCAGGGCCAUUAUCCUGAUGUGUUACACCUCCCAUCACACCGACAUCAGGCUGGCUGUGUGUGAGGGGAUGAGCGAGAAGUGUUGGGCACAACCCUUGUUCCGCUGGGAAGUCCGUCUCCCAUUGCCUGGAGGACCAGGGGGCUCAAUUAGAGCCUCCCAGCAGUAAUUGAGUUGAGGACGGGGUGGGGUGAGGAGCCCACAUGCGGCCGCUAUGAGACCUCACUGAGACUGAUGGGCACGUCCUGCUCAAGCACCACCAGGCAACACUUUGGCCAUGGCCACGCUGGGCUGUGUUGUGUGACAGAGGCACCGCUGUCCCUCUUUCACCCCUCACUGCUGCCCCUCCUCUCUCACCCCCUCCGCUGCUCCUCGUGGUGCUGCCGCCGCCGGAGGGCUCCUCGCAGCAGCUCCCAAUUAAGACCUACUUAAAAUUCAAAUGCAAAUAAAUUUUUAAUUACCUUAAUUAGAAUUAUUCUCUUGUUAGAGCUGAAGGAUGGGGUCCGAAGAGCAGAAAGGGCGGGAUGUGCCUGGCCACGUUGGAGGGGACCGGGGCGGCGCCUGCAGGUUUGGAGCUGGAGCUCAGCAGCCUUUGCACCUCGGUGGGCAAAAUCCACCUAUGUGGUAGGUGCAGAUAUUGCAGCUCCAGGUAUGGCCAAGGCUGGAGGCAAGGAAUUGCUUCCAGCAGCCCCUGGAAUAUCACUGCUGUGCCCUCUGUGUAUCUGCUCUCUUCCCCCGGUUGCUGCCUUUGGAAGCUUCCAAUAGAUUUCUCUAAAUUAAAAAUAAUUUACCCUUUAAAACCAGCAGGUGAGGGAAGAACCCGCCGUGUGCAGCGCUGCAGCUUAUUGCCCCGUGUGUUUGUGCUGCUGGCAGCACGCUUGUCAGCUGUGCACACGGAAUGACUUAUGCCAUCACUGCCACUGGUAGCAAUCCAGCCUGGAAUAAUGAAACAGCCAUGGCGCCCAUGAUUUAUUAAUUAGUGCCAAAGGAUUUAUGCAGGUAAGGGCAUUAUGUGAGUGGUUGGCAUGUUUUUAACCACAUUUCCUGCACUGAGAAAAAGAAUGGGCCGAUGUGCCUGGCCCAUGGGGUGCAUUCCUAUGGCUGUGGCCAGCACAGACACUGCGGCCCUUGCAGAGGUCCCCAGUGAGAGGCACCCUGGGGUCCCCAUUCACCAUGCUGAGCUCUGGGAACACUGCCCCACUGCUCUGUGCUGUAAUGCGUGGAAUCCCAGUGACUCCCCAUUUGCAGGAAGCCGAGAUGAGCUCCAGAUGAGGGCAGUGCCAUUUGCUGCAGAUGAGCGGUGCUUUGGUGGGAAUUCAAUUACACGAUUUUUCCUUGCUGCACAUCAUGCAUUCUGACGACGCAGUGGUUUCGGCACUAAUGAGAUGCGUCUUAACUGCUGUGAAGCUGUAUUUCUCCCUGCUCUUAGUACCUGGGAUCCGUAUUAAUUACAGUUUCAGUAGAGAAAAAGCCCACAGAGUCACUGCCCACACUUUACUCCCGGUAACAGCCGCCUCCUCGCAUUGCUGGGAGCGCUGCGGAUCCACUGCAGAGCUGUGGUUGGUGCCUCACAACCCCAUGGUGGUGGGAUGGAACAGUGGGGCGAGGGGUGCUCCCAGCAUGGGCGGAUGCAGCCGCACACAGUGGGAGAUGCUCAGCAUCAAAGAGACAUAGAGCUUGUUUUUAGAGGCUUCUAUUGGAAGCAGGGGUUUGGUGCUGGGUAAGCUGGUGGGUGUCCCAUCCCCGUGAUGGGCGCUGGGAUGAGCAGUGUCUCAUUUGAUGCCCUCCUGCAGAGGCUCUGUGCUGGAGACACAGUGCUGAUGGUGGAUGCUUUUAUUCCCGUUAGCAAGGCUUGAUGGAGGAUGUGAGGACAUUGGAGCCAUGUGGAGCUGUUUGGCCUCUCAGCCCAGUGUUAUGGGUCCCAUCUGACUGCCCAGGGCUCACCUCAAUGCCCACUCGCUGUUACGUGCUGCUCUCUUGCCCCCCAAGAACAAUUGCUGCCCAAACGCUGCUCCCCCCUUCUCUCUGCCACCAAAAGCCCUCUCUGGUCAUCCCAUGGCAGAGGUAGCAGUGUGCCCUCCUGUCCAUCCUGGGGAGAGUGAAGUGCUGAGCCCACUGAAGGUCCCCAAGGUGCAGCACCAGCAUCUCAUUGCAGCUAAAGCACCGUCUCAAGCCCUGAUGCCUUUCUGUUGCAGCAGUUCCCUUUGCUGGGCUCAGCUGUGCUCACCAUCUCUGUGUCCCUACCCCAACACCACCACCACCACCAUGCAUGUGCUGUGGGGCUGCCGCAGGGCUCAUUCAGCUGGAGACACCCACCUGCAUGAGGCACUCCUGAUGGCAUUGGUCCUUAUGGGGAUAUCUGUCCUGUACAAGCAAGACGGGAGCGGGGGAAGGGGAAGUCACACCUACUGAAGGGGUUUUACAGCUCACAGAUGUAAACAGAAGGAGGGAGAACUCACUUCAGUUAUAAAAAUGUGGAAAUACCCAGAAGUAGUAAAGGAAAAGCAGCAAAACGUGAAGUUGGAGUAAUGUGAGGGUAGAGACUUCACUGUUUCUUUUCCAGGCUGGAUGUGGCUCUGGGCAGCCUGGUCUGCUGGUUGGUGACCCUGCCUGUGGAAGGGGGUUGAAACGAGAUGAUCACUGUGGUCCUUUUCAACCCAGGCCAUUCUGUGAUUCUUUUAAAACAAAGAGCUUUCUGGCUGGUUCAGGUAGUUCAAUUUUUCCUUAAAUCUCUGGCUUGGUGUACACUGAGGAUGCUUUAAUGGCAGCCAGUAGCAAGCACUGGGCCAGUAAUUAGGGGGAAGGCAAUGAAAGUAUUUGGGGGUAGGUGCAGGGUGGUAUCUCACCUGAGGACACUUUGCUUUUAGUGACUGCAGUGAAAUGGAUUUGAAUAUCCCUGAGGUCAACUCCAUCCCUGCGUACUAAGCCAUCCCACCUUUCCACCCUUUUCUCCCCCAAAAUGCUUCAGGGUCUUUGUUGAAAAGAAAUAGCUGUCAUCUGUUCAGCCUUCAUGAACAUUUCCACAUCCUCUGUAAUAACCAUCUCUUCUGGGAAGAGAGAGGACCUUGCAAAUGCCAUAUGCCCAGAGUUGUUCUCAUUGCAGCUCCCCAAAAGGACUGAAAAUCUCCUAAGCAACCUGGCUUACCCUGGGUACCAACCUGGCUUCGUUCACCAAUAGAGAAUGAAUUAUUUGCAUCCAUUUCCAAGAAGCAGCUGUGCUUUUGGUAUGUCUGUGAGUUGAAUGGGUCCAAACCAUGACAAGUUUUGUGGUUGGCCGUGCUGGUCAUAGAACUGUCUCCUCUUCUGUUGCUUGAAAGCAGAUGGCAAUUCAUUUAGCAGUAAUGUUGGAAUAAUGCAUGUUUCUGUGCCUCUGCAUAUGGAUGGCCAAUAGGGAGCAGUCCAUCUUCAUGUAAUUUUAGAUAUCUUAGAGGAUCUGAAUGCAAAACCCUAAGCCUGGGGAUUUGGUGUAGAUUUGUGACCCUCUUUGGAAGAGCUGGGAUCAUAAAGUAGGGCCUGGAAUUCAGGGGGACAUAAAUAUCAUAUUUUCAUCUGUGGCAGCAAUAAACUUGCUUGAAUAUUGUUUGUAUUAUUUAGAGGGAAUACGGACCCAUUUGGCUUAUUUCAUCAGUCUGAAAGUUGCCGGAAAGGAUGGAGGAAGGAGCUCUGAUAACGGAAUAAACUGUACAGAAGAUGUGAAAAGGCAGCUGCACUCCCUCUGGAAGCAAAAACAUUUGUUUCAGGCCUUUCUAGCAGGUUAUGUAUGGAGAAGUGGGCACUCCUGCACUCUUCGGAGCAUGGCUGGUGGAAAGAGCCAUCCUUUUGCCUCCAUCAGAAAGCAAUUAUGGACAUCUAGCACAGCCAUAUGGCACCAUGACCGUCCAGUUCUGGGGCUGCCUUGUAAGUGAACAUCCCAUUCUCCACAAUCCAAAGCUACCACGUUGAUGUUAGGCACUAGGAAGGCCUAAGACAGGUGCAGUACUGACACCAUCCUCCUCUUCAAGGUCAGCCAUCCAUUUGGGGUUUUUAGGGAGUCAAAUCGCACUCAUGAAUAAUUCAUUCUACAAACUUUUCAACCUUCACCAAAAUGAUUUGUGAAUAAAUGUUUUCAUUACUUGGCUGGCUCUGUGGAUGGAUGAAUAAUAUCCAUCAAAUAAAUUAUUCAUAUUU